RNAcentral lists this ribosomal RNA (492 nucleotides) under uncultured bacterium. Its description in RNAcentral is "partial 16S ribosomal RNA". It matches the Rfam family "Bacterial small subunit ribosomal RNA", at positions 29 to 507 of the family's 1533-position model. The record is from RNAcentral.
AGUGAACGCUGGCGGUAGGCCUAACACAUGCAAGUCGAACGGCAGCACAGUAAGAGCUUGCUCUUACGGGUGGCGAGUGGCGGACGGGUGAGGAAUACAUCGGAAUCUACUUUUUCGUGGGGGAUAACGUAGGGAAACUUACGCUAAUACCGCAUACGACCUACGGGUGAAAGCAGGGGAUCUUCGGACCUUGCGCGAUUGAAUGAGCCGAUGUCGGAUUAGCUAGUUGGCGGGGUAAAGGCCCACCAAGGCGACGAUCCGUAGCUGGUCUGAGAGGAUGAUCAGCCACACUGGAGCUGAGAUACGGUCCAGACUCCUACGGGAGGCAGCAGUGGGGAAUAUUGGACGAUGGGCGCAAGCCUGAUCCAGCCAUACCGCGUGGGUGAAGAAGGCCUUCGGGUUGUAGAGCCCUUUUGUUGGGAAAGAAAAGCAGCAGGUUAAUACCCCGCUGUUCUGACGGUACCCAAAGAAUAAGCACCGGCUAACUUCGUG